AGGGGAGUGAAAAAGAACCUGAAACCGUGUACGUACAAGCAGUGGGAGCACAGGUUUACCUGUGUGACUGCGUACCUUUUGUAUAAUGGGUCAGCGACUUAUAUUCUGUAGCAAGGUUAACCGAAUAGGGGAGCCGGAGGGAAACCGAGUCUUAAUUGGGCGUUAAGUUGCAGGGUAUAGACCCGAAACCCGGUGAUCUAGCCAUGGGCAGGUUGAAGGUUGGGUAACACUAACUGGAGGACCGAACCGACUAAUGUUGAAAAAUUAGCGGAUGACCUGUGGCUGGGGGUGAAAGGCCAAUCAAACCGGGAGAUAGCUGGUUCUCCCCGAAAGCUAUUUAGGUAGCGCCUCGUGAAUUCAUCUCCGGGGGUAGAGCACUGUUUCGGCUAGGGGGCCAUCCCGGCUUACCAACCCGAUGCAAACUGCGAAUACCGGAGAAUGUUAUCACGGGAGACACACGGCGGGUGCUAACGUCCGUCGUGAAGAGGGAAACAACCCAGACCGCCAGCUAAGGUCCCAAAGUCAUGGUUAAGUGGGAAACGAUGUGGGAAGGCCCAGACAGCCAGGAUGUUGGCUUAGAAGCAGCCAUCAUUUAAAGAAAGCGUAAUAGCUCACUGGUCGAGUCGGCCUGCGCGGAAGAUGUAACGGGGCUAAACCAUG
Molecule: ribosomal RNA, 660 nt
Filed under: Salmonella enterica
Lineage: Bacteria; Pseudomonadati; Pseudomonadota; Gammaproteobacteria; Enterobacterales; Enterobacteriaceae
Also listed under: 1 other name
Description: partial 23S ribosomal RNA
Rfam family: Bacterial large subunit ribosomal RNA
Source: RNAcentral